Long non-coding RNA from Tachysurus vachellii, 3583 nucleotides. RefSeq lists it as uncharacterized. The record is from RefSeq and is a predicted model, not a curated record. NCBI's taxonomy places the organism in Eukaryota, Metazoa, Chordata, Actinopteri, Siluriformes, Bagridae. The transcript has 3 exons.
UGAACCAAGCUGUCGGAGAUGGGGGCGGCCAUUUUGUGCCGUUCUGAUGAUUCAGUGUCUAAGACAGACAGACACGCUGAGACUGCUGACUUGGCCAGUGUUCAGAUUAGCACAUUGAAGUGGCUGUCUGUUUAUUAAUAACAACCCGCUGUGUAAGUCAUGUAAUCUUUAACAAACCAAAAAAGUUGGGAAACUAUUUAUUAAAAUGGUGAAAAAACGAGAGUCUGGGUGUAUAUUGCUGCUACAAAUGUCUAGUAAAUGUCUAUUAAUAAAGAAAAAAAAAUGUGACGCUAGAAGGAGUAUGGCUUAAGCUAUACAUAUACACCCUCGCUGCAUCUCUCAUCUCCUGGUGUAGAAAGAAUUUUAUACUAAACACUGACAACAAUACCAUUGUAUGGUUCCAGCUAGGCUUGGCAAAUUAACCAGGAGACUUUGUCCUUAUGAGGAUAUUGUGUUUACACGCAGGCUAACUACACUGACGAGUUAGACUUCUUGUCUACGUAUCAAAAAUGGUCUAAAACAGGUGUGUCCAUUGUUUUUUGGAAAGAAUCUGUGUGUGUGUGCAGGUUUUAUUCCAAUCAAGCAGAAGCCACAACCCGAGUCUACUAAAAGCCAUUAUCGUCUCAUUAAACAGGUGGAAUCAGGUGUGGCUUCUGCUCAAAUGGUAUGAAAACCUGCAUCCACACCGACCCUUUGCGGAAAAGAUUGGACUCCCUGGUCUAAUCCAUCAGUUGGGACAAGGUUAUAAUCUCAGAAUAAUUAAAAUUCAUUUUUCUGGCUAGAAUCUGUUCUCACAAAAUUCUUCAGUAGUGAAUUUCUCUUUUCAAAAGUCUUUUGUGUGGUGGAUUUAAAAGCUAGCAUCCUAUUUCUAUACAACAGCGUAAUGUUUCAGAUUCCGUUUGAUUUAAUUACUCGUAUUAAAAUGUUCAUAUUGAUGUGCACCCACAUCUCUUAAUAUUUAAGUAAAAUCGUCGCCUUCCAAAUACACACUUUUGUGUAUUUUAACACCAAGUGAGAGAUACCACUUACAUUACGAUCAUAUUGUUUUUCUUAAGACCAUUUCAAGUAAUCUGUUAGUAGUCAGUACCUGAGAAACUCUAGACAAACUCCUCCUACUGUCACAACUAACAGUAUACAGGUUACUGAUACAGUCCUAUGGUCAAGUGCCAAAUUAAAACAGAUAUACAGUUUGUCACUUAAAGACCUAUUGUAAAAGACAGGUGCAGCAUCAUGAAAUGUGUCAUAGCACUACAUUAACUCCAUCACUUUUCAAAGAAUGUUUUGUGGACAGCUCUUUCAGCUAUUUAUAAAAGUAGAAAUAUUAUAUAAAGACUGUUGACUUGUGUACGUCUUCAUUAUCAAGCUAUGUGUAUAAUCUUAAAGUCCAUUGCAGUUACACUAGAUUCAAACACUACAAAAUGUAACCACAAAGUGCUCGAAAACGCUUUUAUUGUGUAAUAAAUUGCACUCUGUUUUGUAGGGAAUAUACAGUGGGGUCUAGUAGUCUGUGACCGUAGUGAUGUAGAAAUAUUCAAAUUCUGCUGUGUUUAUAGGUCUCAAUUUAUGUGUGAUAAAACGUGAUAUUGAGCAUGAUAUUGAACUGCUUUGUACAAAGGAUCGGAUGUUCCUCGUGCCUUAUCUGUUAAUCUGAAGCAUGAGUUCAGAUGACAAGCCGAUGGAUUUGAUCUAGAAUGAAUCAUAAGGUUUUGUACAAACUUGUGGAGUCGAUGCCAGCUAAAGUAAAUGCUGACAUUAAAUCAAAAGGGAGACGAACCAAAUACUAAAAAACUCUGAAAUUCAUUUAAACGCAAGUUGUUUUCAGCAAUAAGAUUUCUAAUUGAAAUUGUUGUAUUAAAAUAACUGUAUUAAAAGAAUGCAAAAUAGAUGUAGGUUUCACUACCGCGCUCUCAGACAUUUGGACUCCACUGUAUCUGUAUCUUUUCUGAACUUCUGACAAAUAACAGAAUUAUUUGACAAUGUGUUUAACACCCCUGCUCUAAAGUCUUGAGAUGCAUCAUUAAAAACACACCACAUCGCCCUAAAGGCUGUUUACCAAGUAAUCAGUGUUUGCUCAAAUAUACGUGAAUGUUUCAGAAUGGAUGGUGAUUCAUAUUUUCUGUUCAAACAGCGUGAAAGGGUGAUAAAUGGGUAAAGGAGUAGGCAAGAAAAAGUGCCUCACAAUUGCUGCUAAGUUUAAUGCUGCUCUGCCACACCAGCAGGUUGACUCAGGAAUGGGUAGGAAAAGCAGGAGAAUGGAUAGAGAAAGAGAGAGUGCACGUCACAAUAAAGGGCGUGUGCUGUCCUCUCUGUGCGCUCAUACACACUCAAGCCAAGUGUGUGCGUUCUCACUCGUGUGCUCCUUCAUGAGGCCUGGUCCAUGUCUAAGUUGAAAAACAGACUGACUCAAGUGUCAGGAACAAAACAAGUUGGCCAUCCUCACAUACUAAGAGAGGGGGAGAGCGAAAUUAUUGAAUGAGAUUAUGAGAAAAUAGUGAGUGGUUGGUCAUCAGCCUCCUGCUCUCGUUCUCUCUCCCUCCAUCUUGGUUUGUUGUUCGUCACAAAAGAGGGAUGGAUAUAGUGUGGAAGCUCUUCGCAUGGAGCAGCUCCUUCGUAAAAUUGUGCCAAAGGUUGUGUUUUUGCUGGAAAAUGAAAUGACCUGUUUGUAUUUAUAUUGUUAAUAACAAAAAAAAAUCUGAAAAUUAGACUCCUAACUUUACCUUCAUGGAUUAAUGUAAUUGUGCUCCAGUGACCUCCUGUCUGAUUCUCUGUAAACAGUGAACACACACACACACACACACACACACACACACAGAGAGAGAGUCCAUCAUUAGAGGAGAACUGUUGGUACAUGUAUUUUGUACUGAAUUAUCUGCCUGAACAAAGAGUGUAAGUGGAGGUGGAAGCUCAAUGGAGGGUUUUAUUUUUUAUUUUAUUAUUUAUUUAUUUAUUUUAUUAUAUUAAACCAAUGCAAAAAACUACUGUGUCCUCGCUGCAUGACAGCAUGAGAGGUGCUUUACAAUGGAACAAAAUGGAAAGUGCAAUGCUUUAAUUGGACCUCUUUUGGAGAUUUUUUUAUUUAUUUAGUUUUGUAAAGCUUUUAACCAAUUCAUGUUUCUAGUUUGUUGUGUGUAAAAGCCACCAUUGAAUUUUAAUAUGUGGGGAAUAUUUUGAACAAGAUCUACGUGGGGAAAUCUCAAUGAGAUUGAUUAAUGUUUUUUUUUUUUUUUUUUUUUUUUUUUUAAAAUUUAUUUUCUUUAUUUUUUAAGAACAGCAAUUCUAAAAGUAAACAAGGAUUUUAUUCUCUUACAUGGUUUGUGAAUUAAGGACAAAGACAUUUCCUUGUGCUCUUAUUCUAAGUUAGAUUUAUCACUGGUUAUUUGCUAAUGCCUUAUUUGAUGUCUACUACAGUUGCUUGUUGCAGACAGCGUUGAUAAAUGAAUAAGUGAUACGUGGGGGGUGUUUGUUUUCUAAAUUAAUGCUUGAAAAUCACAUUCAACCUCCUUGUAGUUAUCCAGUUAUUAAAGUCUUCUUUAUUCUUCUUGUUCCUUCAUCAAUAAACUAAUUGUAUUAGAAUCAUAUUGAA